GCGUUAACGAACGAGACCUCGACCUGCUAAAUAGUUCGGCGAAGGCUUCGGCCUUCGUUCAUGACUUCUUAGAGGGACUAUCGGUGUGUAGCCGACGGAAGUUCGAGGCAAUAACAGGUCUGUGAUGCUCUUAGAUGUUCUGGGCCGCACGCGCGUUACACUGACAGAGCCAGCGAGUCCUUCCUUGGCCGAGAGGCCCGGGUAAUCUUGUUAAACUCUGUCGUGCUGGGGAUAGAGCAUUGCAAUUAUUGCUCUUCGACGAGGAAUUCCUAGUAAGCGCGAGUCAUCAACUUGUGCUGAUUACGUCCCUGCCCUUUGUACACACCGCCCGUCGCUAGUACCGAUUGAAUGGAUG
Molecule: ribosomal RNA, 355 nt
Filed under: Eukaryota sp.
Lineage: Eukaryota
Description: SSU rRNA
Rfam family: Eukaryotic small subunit ribosomal RNA
Source: RNAcentral